AUAAAGAAGGACACAUUUGAAAGCUAUUUAUUAUCAACUGAUUCACAGAGCAAUCCAUAUCGUUUCUACCAUGUGGAAAUAUUCUACCGUCUCAACAAAGCUGGUGAGAGUUCUGGUAAUCGUUUUCCUUUAUGGGCCUAUUCCAUUAAUAAGUGCUUCGGGUUUAUGCUUCGUUUUGGAAACAAACCAGACGUUGCAACAAUAUUGCGAAUGGAGCAACUGGUUUCCAUGGAAUUGUGUAAUUUGCGGCCUAGGCGUACCCGGAAAUCUCUCCCUGGCCUCCCGGACACGAAGCAUCUGCUGUGACAAGAGACUUCCACCGGAAACCUGCGGCACAUCGUGUAACGUAACACAAAAUGACGUCAAAGAAACGGGCAUAUGUGAAACUGAAUGCCCACACCUAUAUAACACCACGGCAAAAGCGAGUUUGCCUAGUGCAAAAGUUGAAGCGCAGACACUACCUUCGACAACAACAGUCACCAGUAAAUCGGAUUAUAACGAGUACACUAGUCCGAGUACUACGCUUCGAAGCGAUAUUCAAACAACUUCGACGCUGCCCCUUCUGGUGCGAUCAUCUACAACAAAAGUGGUUGAAAACAGUGCUGGCCACGGGGAUUCGAGUUAUUUACGGGCGGUGGCUCAUACGCAGGGAAUGUCUUGCGAUGAUCAGUGUUGCUAUCUUGGGUCUUGGAUGUUGUACAGUAGGGGAAGUUUAAGAUUGUGUCUGUUUAUUCUAAUGUCCUUCUAUGUAACCAUAGCCACCACAGGGUUUCUGGCCACCCUGCGUAUAGUCAGGGUUUACAAUAACCGGAAGUCACGUGUGCAUACAAGCGCAAAACCGCCAUUCAACGACAGUGUGUGAUAAAACAUUAACACGAUAGAAAAACACGGUAGAAAAACGAUCUGCUUUAUUGUGUCGUUAAGGUGAAAAGGUUUAUUUUGGACCCGAAAAUUUAACUCAACAAAACACUUUAAAGCCACACACUUUGCCUCUGACCUUGAAAUGAAAUACAUGUUAAUCAAUACAUAUACCGGUAGAUGCAAUUUGAAAGUGUGCAUAAUUGUCAUUAAAUCUAUUACCUAGUUUCCAAGUAAUUAAUUAUUAUUCAAACGGUACCGCUUUUAAAACCAAAAGUAGGAUUUCUAUACGUAUACGUCCUUUUCGACAAACGCGAUUAUUUUUUUAAUUUUACAGCGCAAAAAGAAGGAUUUCAACCUAGUAACCACCAAAUAUUUUCUAAUUGGCAUAGAUAAAAUUAAAUCUAUAGCCUAGUUAGCAAGUAAUUUAUUAUUUUUCAAACGAUACCGCUUUUAAAACCGUAACUAGGAUUUCUAGACGUAAACGUCCAUUUCGACAAACGCUAUUGUUUUUAAGUUUUACAGCGCAAAAAGGACGGAUUUCUACUUUGUAACCACCAGAUAUAUUCUUAAUGGCAUAGAUAAAACAUGUUUCUUAUUUAUACUUUAAUUUACUAUGCCAAAUAAGUUGUGUGGGUUUAAUGACCGUACUAGGACUGUUGCUAUACUGGUAACAACUUGACUCUCCGUUACGAAUGCUAUGUAAUUGCUGUUGUUUGUCUGUUUUCGUUUAUUAGAAUUUCUUUGUGUGUUUGCCUCAUGUUUAAGAACAGAUAAAACAUGUAUAAUGGUUUUAAGAACGACCAAAUAACACGCUCCGUCACAAUCAAUACAAGUUCAGUUUUUAGUAUUUAUGAUAGAGCGUUGGUGAAGUUCAUGACGUUAUGAUUGAUAGCCUGUUAAUUUUGUUGCGAUGGCAAGGGGAUCAAUCUGCGUAAUCUGUAUGCCUUCCAUUGAUAUAUAUAAGUGUGUUUGUACUCUUGAUAAUUUAUUUUUUGAACGUGACCCAACGAAUGAAUGGAUAAAAUCGUCGCAAUUCAA
This is a long non-coding RNA of Dreissena polymorpha, 1899 nucleotides long. RefSeq lists it as uncharacterized. Lineage: Eukaryota; Metazoa; Mollusca; Bivalvia; Myida; Dreissenidae. The record is from RefSeq and is a predicted model, not a curated record. The transcript is spliced from 2 exons.